UUGAGAGUUUGAUUCCUGGCUCAGGAUUAACGCUGGCGGCAUGCCUAAUACAUGCAAGUCGAACGAAAGUAGCAAUACUUUAGUGGCGAACGGGUGAGUAACACGUAUCUAACCUACCAUUUAGUGGGGAAUAACUGUUGGAAACGACAGCUAAUACCGCAUAUGUUAUUUAUUUGCAAUGAUAAAUAAUGAAAGGAGCAUUUGCUUCGCUAAUUGAUGGGGAUGCGGCGCAUUAACUAGUUGGUAAGGUAAUGGCUUACCAANGUAACGAUGCGUAGCCGAUCUGAGAGGAUGAACGGCCACAUUGGGACUGAGACACGGCCCAAACUUCUACGGAAGGCAGCAGUAGGGAAUUUUUCACAAUGGGCGAAAGCCUGAUGGAGCAAUGCCGCGUGACUGAUGAANGUCUUCGGAUUGUAAAAGUCUGUUGUAAGGGAAGAAGUGCUAUAAUAGGAAAUAAUUUUAGUAUCGACCAUACCUUACCAGAAAAGCCACGGCUAA
Molecule: ribosomal RNA, 501 nt
Filed under: Spiroplasma symbiont of Tetranychus urticae
Lineage: Bacteria; Bacillati; Mycoplasmatota; Mollicutes; Entomoplasmatales; Spiroplasmataceae
Description: bacterial SSU rRNA
Rfam family: Bacterial small subunit ribosomal RNA
Source: RNAcentral